UAGAGAUGCAAAAGAGUGGGGUGGGU
RNAcentral lists this non-coding RNA (26 nucleotides) under Mus musculus (house mouse). The record is from RNAcentral. Lineage: Eukaryota; Metazoa; Chordata; Mammalia; Rodentia; Muridae.